Non-coding RNA from Equus caballus (horse), 3379 nucleotides. NCBI's taxonomy places the organism in Eukaryota, Metazoa, Chordata, Mammalia, Perissodactyla, Equidae. The record is from RefSeq and is a predicted model, not a curated record.
CGCGAGACGUGGUCCUGUCAGCUUGCGGGCGCGGCGGGAAGGUGACGGCUUCCUUUUCUUUUCUCCCCGGCUAUGUUUUCCUUGGGAGUAGAAAAGGCAGGCCCCACGCGUAUCAGAAGGACUGGGGCUUAGGGAAAAGGAAAGAUGUCUUUGAGGUCGGGGAGAGAACAGGAACACAGCGGAAAAAAGUAGUUUUGCUCUCUUGAAAGCUCUGUGCUGAGAGUUGUGUUUUGUUUGCAAAGGAGAGGCCGCCGUCUCAUUGACAUUCCCAAAUGUUUCGCUUACUCGGUUCCCAGUCUCGUCCUCUUCCGCAGAGUGAUCUUGUUAAUGAAAGACAUUAGCGCUUACCUGUGGAAAACUAUUUUUAAAAGGGCGCUAAAUUGAGGAGAGAAGAAGAAGAGCAUGUCAAAGAGUGGUUUUGUCAAAAUCAGUGUGUAAGAGGCAUUCUGAAACGAGAGGAGGAGCGAGAGGGGGAGGGUUGUUGGAAGGUGGGUGGGAAACAGAACCAAGGGAAUUAGGGGAAACUAGUCGGAUUAUUAAUAUUUUGGAAUGUCCAGAGUCAGAAUGGAUAGUGUGUUUGGAUUGUAAUGGGAGAAAACGAAGAUCAAGAAUAUACUUAGUGACAAAAUUAUGCUGUGUCUACUAUAUUAAAAACAGCUGAUUGAGAAUUGGAAAAAUGUACCCAAUGUGAUUAUUUCACGUUUUGGCGUACAAUUCCCUAUCCUUGAGUUCUGCUGCUGUAAAAAGACAAACCAAAUCCAUAUGUGUGUGCAGACAGUUUUAAAGAGAUACAUUUGUAAGUGGUUAUUCCUAUAGUAGAAGGAAGGUAAGAAAGUAAAUACGGCAGAGAAUGUCAAAUAUUAUAUUGUGCAAGCUUAUUUUUCCAUGAAGAGAACUCUCAGGAACGAUGUGUUAAUCAUUUACCAUGUUUUUUGUGAAUAAUGUUGAUUUUAUCAGUGAUAUAUUUGUUUACCUGAUGAGUUUUGAGAACAUGAUGGUUUCCCAAAUUCUAUUUGCUACCAUGCCUUGUAUUUCUAAGUAGUCAAAAUUAUUUGAUUAAUUUGAAGAUAACAAAGGGUGUUAUGCACAUUCAACGAGACAACUGCUUAUGUUUGUGAUAAAGUUACUGAUGUGUGCUAAAAAUGCACAUUAAUCCAUUUAUAUGCACUAUUAAAAUUAACUUUGAGACAGCUUUAAAUCAUAAAAUAUAUAAUGUACCCGGAGUUGGGUUUGAGAUGAUCAGACUGGGUAUUCCAGAAUUGCUAAAUAUGUGAUGUUUAACGUGAAAAAGAAGAAAGGAGAAGUCUUUUUUCUUACCCCAAAUUAAUAGCAAAAAUUUACAUUUUUGUGUAUUGACAGAUCAGAAGAUAACUCUCUUGCCAAAGACUGUCACCAGUUUUCCCUCCACUACCGCAAUUUUUAGGUUUUUGAUCUUGAAUGAAUUAUACCAUGGGCUUCAUGUAGGCAUUCCCAGGCUCCAAGAGUCUGGUUGAUGGACUUCCUCACUGCCACCACCUGAUGGCAGUGGAAGCCAUGAUUUCUGAUAAAGGGCUUAGGUGUGGAACUGUUUCUGCAUUCCCCUAGCGUACAAGGCCAAGAACAGCCAUUUGUCCAAAGGUGAAGAUAAACGUGUUUAAACUGUGAAAAUUCAUGCAGUGGGGUCAUCAGCCUGUUCUCCCUGCUUUCUUUUCCCUUUGACUGGUACUUCACUCUUCCUUACCUAAGUACGCAGCCUCCGUCUUUUCUUCAUUCUUAAAAUUGGGAACAUCUGAUAUCUCAAUAGAUACUUUGAAAUUCUUUCACACGAAUUCAUUAUUUUCCCAAGUAUUGCGUCGUAAGCCUCCCCUCCCCACUUGAUUGAAAGGUUUUAUUUUGAGAUGUUUAAAAAGAGUCUAGGUGAUGGAGAGGGAUGGAAAUGUCUAGGCUGUUUUAUGGCUGACCCUGGAGGUAAAAAAAAACAUUGUUUUUGUAGCUAACUUUCUCUCUCGAACUCUAAUUGCAUUUCUCGUUUUUUAUCCUCCUCUACCAAGACUGUCAGAUACUGAGCACCUAGAACCCUUUCUUACUUUUUGCAUACCUACUCUCUAUCCAGCCCCCAAUAAAGCAAAACAAAACAACCUGGUCUUCCUGGAGUGUUUCUCUCUCUUUCAGUGACAGCGUCUUUUUCCAUGCAGUUAUGCAAACCUGAAACUUGGGCAUCCUCCUUAACAUUUUCCUCUCCAUUGCAUUUCAGGUGUAAUCAAUCACCAAGUCCUGUUUCUUUUAUUUCUGUCAUAAGUCUAGUCCAUGCUGCUGUCAUCCCUCAUUGAGGUCUCCUGCAGUAGCUUUCUAAGCAGUUUUCUUGCUUCUGCUCUUGCCCUCCAGUUUGUACAGCACACUAUUCUCCUGCAAGCACAAAUCGGUUCUCAUCUCUGUUUACAACCCUUUAGUAGCUUUUCAUUGCUCUUAGGAUAAGGCAAAAAUCCUUAACAUGGCCUAAAAGGCACUGCAUGGUCUGGCCCCUCUUUAACUCUCUAUUUAAUCCUACAUCAUAUGAUCUUGCUCUUUGAUCUUUCUCUGUAUCCUUACACAUGUCAUGCUCCCUUCAGCCAUAGGGCCGUUGCACAUGCUAUCCCAUCAUCCAGGAACCUUCUAAUUCCUCAUUCUGUUCUCUUUUCUUAAAUUCUCUUACACUGGAUCUCAGCUUGAUCACACUGUGUUUUUUAGGGGAGUCUUCUCUGACCUUCUGAUUUGUUCUCUUCUACCUACACACACUCAUGGCACCAUGUGGUUCUCCUUGGUCAUACUUAUCAUUUGUGUGUAAUUCCUUGAUAUGCAUGAUUUGAUACUCUUGAGAGAGAGAUACACACACACACACAUAUCAAGUAUAUAAGAAUAUGCACGUUAUAAUAUACACACAUGUUAAUAUGUAUUCUUAAAUUCUAAAUUAAUACAUUGGCAUUAUGUGUAAGCAGGUAGUUUCUUGUGAAUUUGAUUGAUUAAUUUGGUUCAAUCCCCUAUGGCCCUGUUGACUCUGGACAAAUGGGUAAGAUCAAGUUCUUAAACAUAAAAAUGACUAGACUCAGCAUCCAUGGUGACAGCACAAAUGCUAUUUUGUGAAACCUUGUUUGAGCAACUUCUUGCCUUUUUGCUGUCUCCUAAAAUACGAUAGUGAUUAUGUGUUUGCCCCAUAGGCCAAGAAAUUCACAGCAUCUUCGUCCUGGAUUUCUACUAGCUGAUAAUCUAUACACCCAGUAAAGAAGAGGGAACGGUGCUUUUUGUAGAAUAGAAAGAAAACAUGGGUUCUGAAGUCAGUUCUGAUCUUGCAUGAAUAACCUCCAUAGAGUCAACAUUAGCCUGUGCGGAUGACAGACUUAUGUCGGUUGCUGAGAGAGAAACA